UGGGGAAUAUUGCACAAUGGGCGAAAGCCUGAUGCAGCAACGCCGCGUGAGGGACGACGGCCUUCGGGUUGUAAACCUCUUUUAGCAAGGAAGAAGCGAAAGUGACGGUACUUGCAGAAAAAGCGCCGGCUAACUACGUGCCAGCAGCCGCGGUAAUACGUAGGGCGCAAGCGUUAUCCGGAAUUAUUGGGCGUAAAGAGCUCGUAGGCGGUUUGUCGCGUCUGCUGUGAAAACCCGAGGCUCAACCUCGGGCCUGCAGUGGGUACGGGCAGACUAGAGUGCGGUAGGGGAGAUUGGAACUCCUGGUGUAGCGGUGGAAUGCGCAGAUAUCAGGAAGAACACCGAUGGCGAAGGCAGAUCUCUGGGCCGUAACUGACGCUGAGGAGCGAAAGGGUGGGGAGCAAACAGGCUUAGAUGACUCUGGUAGUCCACCCCGUAAACGUUGGGAACUAGUUGU
RNAcentral lists this ribosomal RNA (457 nucleotides) under uncultured bacterium. RNAcentral's name for it is "partial 16S ribosomal RNA". It matches the Rfam family "Bacterial small subunit ribosomal RNA", at positions 355 to 823 of the family's 1533-position model. The record is from RNAcentral.